This 505-nucleotide small RNA is filed under the name Histoplasma capsulatum var. duboisii H88. RNAcentral describes it as "Histoplasma capsulatum H88 hypothetical RNA". The record is from RNAcentral. Lineage: Eukaryota; Fungi; Ascomycota; Eurotiomycetes; Onygenales; Ajellomycetaceae.
CCCUCCUCUUUUCGUCGAAGGCGAUCGAUAGAUAUCUGCUUGCACUCAGCGUAUAUUCCUCCAAUCAGACAAGAAAAAGAACAUUUUCCCUUCUACGACAUAACCCACUCAAAUCGUCUUUAUUCUGUCAAGCAGACCCCGUCUCGGGUUGUUAGUAUUUCCCUGACUUAGACUAGUUCUCUAUAGAGUCCCCCAGUUCCUUCACUUCUCUUUUCCUCUGCUCUGUAGAUUUGCCAUAGACGCUAGUUAUAUUUUCGCAAUGGGCUGAAGGGACACCAUCCUUCUAAAUUGGUAAAGGUCCGGGGCUCAUUCAACUGUUCGUGGAGGGACUGAUAUACAGAUUACACACGGUCGGGGGUCAAACUACCUUCUUUUCUUCUUUUUCUUUUUUGUAAUCUAGAUAUUAUAUUCCACACAGUCAUAUGCACUGUACCAAAUAGCUAUCCCCUAGGAGUAAAAUAGUGAUCUCCUGCGGUACCUAACUUACUAUCUAUCCAAGCGUUGA